AUUUACCUGACAGUGUUUCGACUAUGAACCAUCCCUCAUGUUCACACUGUAGAUGAGAUCCUGGACUCAUGUUGAUGAAAUUGACAAGUUUAUUGAAGUUGUAUGUCGUUCCUUAUACACCAGUCAGGAGACAACAGCUUCAGGGAUCGCCAUUGAUCAAGACUUGGAUCCUGCCGGUGGAUUUACAUGUUAGAUUCAAUGACUGGAUCCUUCAUCAGGUUGAGUCCAUUUCAUUGUGUUGUCAUUGAUUAUGUUGCUGCAGCGCAACCUGAGUACAAGGUACUGUACAUUGUUUUCUAUUUGAGAUCAUGUACAAAAACAAUGAUUUCUGACUUUUAAAACAUUUGAGACACUCCUGAAAUGAAAACAAUUUUAGUUUUGCGAGCUUAAUUUUUUUUCUCUGUCACUCUAAGUGACAGAAGUGGUCCAAACAGCAGCUGAACUCUCGUCUUUUGAAAUGCUCAUUGAUUUGCCCCCUGGGCAGAGUUCACAGUCCAGUACUCACUGAAGACCUGAGGAUGAUACAGCAUGUGCCCAUCUGACUGUCAGAUUCAGCAACGUGUAUCGUCAUGGGCUGCUUUAUUAUUAUUUUUUAUUACCAUGUCCACAAUUUGGCAGAGGACACCAGCCCAGUUACUCAUGAAUCUGUUCCCUGCUUCUCAAAGUGACUUGCACUGCAUUCAAUGUUUUUAUCAGUUUGUGCAUUUACUGAGAAUCGAAGUCAUGACCUCAGUGUUUGAGCUACAUAUGCCAUCUAAUAUAGUGAAGAGAAUGACAACAAAUGUGUCUGAGAUGUGAUAUAAAGAUAGGAAGACAGUAAUAUUAGUGAGAUUGAGACAGGUAGAGUGUGGAAAAUGAGAGGGGGAAAAAUGAUCAGUAAUUUCAAGUUCUGAGAUGAAAUGUGAUGCUUUAUUGGCCAAAAGUCUGUUCACAAACAGAAGCUGUGAGAACAUUACAGUUCAAUAAUGCAGUGUGGACCGCCGGACAGCAUCAUAUCACGAACAGUUGGUGCUGAGACUCGAGAAACUGACCAGAGAGAGAGAGAGAAUUAACGUCAAUUUUGCUGUUUGUGUAGCUUUGUGUGUCUUCUGUUUUGUAGUGAAAUACUGUUAAUUAGUACUAUGUUUUGGAGCUCUUAAAUUGUUUUCUUGUUUUAUUAAUUAUAUUUAGAGUCAAUUUUUGCUUAAGAUUCAUGUUGUGUCCUUAAUUGAGAUUCUU
Molecule: long non-coding RNA, 1218 nt
Organism: Onychostoma macrolepis
Lineage: Eukaryota; Metazoa; Chordata; Actinopteri; Cypriniformes; Cyprinidae
Exons: 3
Source: RefSeq, a predicted model, not a curated record